This 19-nucleotide non-coding RNA is filed under the name Arabidopsis thaliana (thale cress). The record is from RNAcentral. Lineage: Eukaryota; Viridiplantae; Streptophyta; Magnoliopsida; Brassicales; Brassicaceae.
GCUAAAGUGAUGAUGUGUU